RNAcentral lists this ribosomal RNA (259 nucleotides) under uncultured bacterium. Its description in RNAcentral is "partial 16S ribosomal RNA". It matches the Rfam family "Bacterial small subunit ribosomal RNA", at positions 795 to 1052 of the family's 1533-position model. The record is from RNAcentral.
CCACGCCGUAAACUAUGAUUACUCAGAGUAUGCGAUAUACAGUAUGCUCUCAAGCGAAAGCAUUAAGUAAUCCACCUGGGGAGUACGUCGGCAACGAUGAAACUCAAAGGAAUUGACGGGGGCCCGCACAAGCGGAGGAACAUGUGGUUUAAUUCGAUGAUACGCGAGGAACCUUACCUGGGAUUGAAAUGUAUAUGUUGGUUGUUGGAAACAACUUCCUUCCUCUUCGGAGGCGUAUAUGUAGGUGCUGCAUGGUUGU